This 514-nucleotide ribosomal RNA is filed under the name uncultured bacterium. RNAcentral describes it as "bacterial SSU rRNA". It matches the Rfam family "Bacterial small subunit ribosomal RNA", at positions 15 to 518 of the family's 1533-position model. The record is from RNAcentral.
GAUCAUGGCUCAGGAUGAACGCUAGCUACAGGCUUAACACACGCAAGUCGAGGGCAGCAUGAUCGAAGCUCGCUUUGAUUGACUGGCGACCGGCGCACGGGUGAGUAACGCGUAUCCAACUUCCCUAUAGUAGAGAAUAGCCCGGCGAAAGUCGGAUUAAUGCUCUAUGUUGUAUUUAGAAGACAUCUGAAGAAUACCAAAGGUUUACCGCUAUAGGAUGGGGAUGCGUCUGGAUUAGGUAGUAGGCGGGGUAACGGCCCACCUAGCCGACGAUCAGUAGGGGUUCUGAGAGGAAGGUCCCCCACAUUGGAACUGAGACACGGUCCAAACUCCUACGGGAGGCAGCAGUGAGGAAUAUUGGUCAAUGGACGGAAGUCUGAACCAGCCAAGUAGCGUGCAGGAUGACGGCCCUAUGGGUUGUAAACUGCUUUUAUAUAGGGAUAAAGUCGGGGACGUGUCCCCGUUUGUAGGUACUAUAUGAAUAAGGACCGGCUAAUUCCGUGCCAGCAGCAGC